CAUCACAGCCAUAUCACCCUGCAGCCCAAGAAUGGAUACUCAUUUAGGGUAACCAGGGCAGAGCCUGGUCAGUACCUGGAUGGGAGACCACAUGGGAAAAUUAGGUUGCUGUUGGAA
Non-coding RNA from Danio rerio (zebrafish), 117 nucleotides. Lineage: Eukaryota; Metazoa; Chordata; Actinopteri; Cypriniformes; Danionidae. The record is from Rfam.